AAAUUGAAGAGUUUGAUCAUGGCUCAGAUUGAACGCUGGCGGCAGGCCUAACACAUGCAAGUCGAACGGUAACAGGAAUCAGCUUGCUGAUUCGCUGACGAGUGGCGGACGGGUGAGUAAUGUCUGGGAAACUGCCUGAUGGAGGGGGAUAACUACUGGAAACGGUAGCUAAUACCGCAUAAUGUCGCAAGACCAAAAAGGGGGACCUUCGGGCCUCUUGCCAUCAGAUGUGCCCAGAUGGGAUUAGCUUGUUGGUGGGGUAACGGCUCACCAAGGCGACGAUCCCUAGCUGGUCUGAGAGGAUGACCAGCCACACUGGAACUGAGACACGGUCCAGACUCCUACGGGAGGCAGCAGUGGGGAAUAUUGCACAAUGGGCGCAAGCCUGAUGCAGCCAUGCCGCGUGUAUGAAGAAGGCCUUCGGGUUGUAAAGUACUUUCAGCGGGGAGGAAGGGAGUAAAGUUAAUACCUUUGCUCAUUGACGUUAUCCGCAGAAGAAGCACCGGCUAACUCCGUGCCAGCAGCCGCGGUAAUACGGAGGGUGCAAGCGUUAAUCGGAAUUACUGGGCGUAAAGCGCACGCAGGCGGUUUGUUAAGUCAGAUGUGAAAUCCCCGGGCUCAACCUGGGAACUGCAUCUGAUACUGGCAAGCUUGAGUCUCGUAGAGGGGGGUAGAAUUCCAGGUGUAGCGGUGAAAUGCGUAGAGAUCUGGAGGAAUACCGGUGGCGAAGGCGGCCCCCUGGACGAAGACUGACGCUCAGGUGCGAAAGCGUGGGGAGCAAACAGGAUUAGAUACCCUGGUAGUCCACGCCGUAAACGAUGUCGACUUGGAGGUUGUGCCCUUGAGGCGUGGCUUCCGGAGCUAACGCGUUAAGUCGACCGCCUGGGGAGUACGGCCGCAAGGUUAAAACUCAAAUGAAUUGACGGGGGCCCGCACAAGCGGUGGAGCAUGUGGUUUAAUUCGAUGCAACGCGAAGAACCUUACCUGGUCUUGACAUCCACGGAAGUUUUCAGAGAUGAGAAUGUGCCUUCGGGAACCGUGAGACAGGUGCUGCAUGGCUGUCGUCAGCUCGUGUUGUGAAAUGUUGGGUUAAGUCCCGCAACGAGCGCAACCCUUAUCCUUUGUUGCCAGCGGUC
RNAcentral lists this ribosomal RNA (1136 nucleotides) under Shigella boydii. RNAcentral describes it as "bacterial SSU rRNA". It matches the Rfam family "Bacterial small subunit ribosomal RNA", at positions 1 to 1126 of the family's 1533-position model. Lineage: Bacteria; Pseudomonadati; Pseudomonadota; Gammaproteobacteria; Enterobacterales; Enterobacteriaceae. The record is from RNAcentral.